ACGCUGGCGGCACGCCUAACACAUGCAAGUCGAACGAAGUAGCAAUACUUAGUGGCAGACGGGUGAGUAACAUGUAGGUAUCUGCCCUUUGGCCUGGAAUAACACGAGGAAACUUGUGCUAAUACCGGAUAAGUCUUUACGGAGAAAGCUUUAUGCACCAUUGGAUGAGCCUGCACUUGAUUAGUUUGUUGGUGGGGUAAUGGCCUACCAAGACUGUGAUCAAUAGCUGAUUUGAGAGGAUGAUCAGCCACAUUGGGACUGAGACACGGCCCAAACUCCUACGGGAGGCAGCAGUGGGGAAUCUUGCACAAUGGAGGAAACUCUGAUGCAGCGAUGCCGCGUGAGUGAAGAAGGCCUUUGGGUUGUAAAGCUCUUUCGUCGGGGAAGAAAAUGACUGUACCCGAAUAAGAAGGUCCGGCUAACUUCGUGCCAGCAGCCGCGGUAAUACGAAGGGACCUAGCGUAGUUCGGAAUUACUGGGCUUAAAGAGUUCGUAGGUGGUUGAAAAAGUUGGUGGUGAAAUCCCAGAGCUUAACUCUGGAACUGCCAUCAAAACUUUUCAGCUAGAGUAUGAUAGAGGAAAGCAGAAUUUCUAGUGUAGAGGUGAAAUUCGUAGAUAUUAGAAAGAAUACCAAUUGCGAAGGCAGCUUUCUGGAUCAUUACUGACACUGAGGAACGAAAGCAUGGGUAGCGAAGAGGAUUAGAUACCCUCGUAGUCCAUGCCGUAAACGAUGUGUGUUAGACGUUGGAAAUUUAUUUUCAGUGUCGCAGCGAAAGCGAUAAACACACCGCCUGGGGAGUACGACCGCAAGGUUAAAACUCAAAUGAAUUGACGGGGACCCGCACAAGUAGUGGAGCAUGUGGUUUAAUUCGAAGAUACGCGCAGAACCUUACCAACACUUGACAUGUUCGUCGCGACCUUAAGAGAUUAAAGUUUUCGGUUCGGCCGGACGAAACACAGGUGCUGCAUGGCUGUCGUCAGCUCGUGUCGUGAGAUGUUGGGUUAAGUCCCGCAACGAGCGCAACCCUCACUUUUAGUUGCCAUCAUUUAGUUGGGCACUCUGAAAGAACUGCCAGUGAUAAGCUGGAGGAAGGUGGGGAUGACGUCAAGUCCUCAUGGCCCUUACGUGUUGGGCUACACACGUGCUACAAUGGUAUCUACAACAGGAAGCAAAACCGCGAGGUUAAGCAAAUCCUUAAAAGAUACCUCAGUUCGGAUUGCACUCUGCAACUCGAGUGCAUGAAGCUGGAAUUACUAGUAAUCGUGGAUCAGCGUGCCACGGUGAAUGCGUUCCCGGGUCUUGUACACACCGCCCGUCACACCAUGGGAGUUGGUUCUACCUUAAGGCAAGGUUUCAAACCCUCGACCACGGUAUAGUCAGCGACUGGGGU
Molecule: ribosomal RNA, 1391 nt
Filed under: uncultured bacterium
Lineage: Bacteria
Description: 16S ribosomal RNA
Rfam family: Bacterial small subunit ribosomal RNA
Source: RNAcentral